UACGUAGGGUGCAAGCGUUGUCCGGAAUUAUUGGGCGUAAAGAGCUCGUAGGCGGUCUGUCGCGUCUGCUGUGAAACCUCGGGGCUUAACCCCGGGCCUGCAGUGGGUACGGGCAGACUAGAGUGCGGUAGGGGAGACUGGAAUUCCUGGUGUAGCGGUGAAAUGCGCAGAUAUCUGGAGGAACACCGGUGGCGAAGGCGGCAUCCUGGACCGACACUGACGCUGAGGAGCGAAAGCCAGGGGAGCAAACGGG
This 253-nucleotide ribosomal RNA is filed under the name uncultured bacterium. RNAcentral describes it as "partial 16S ribosomal RNA". It matches the Rfam family "Bacterial small subunit ribosomal RNA", at positions 524 to 776 of the family's 1533-position model. The record is from RNAcentral.